AAAAUGAUUAAGAAAAAACGCUCAAAUUGGAUCAAAGCUUUGAAUGACAACGUAAGUCUCGAUUUUUUUUUUUUUUUGCUUUCUAUUAUGCGUUAUUUUAUUCAUCAUCUAGUAGUAAUUUAAUCUGCAAAAUUCCAAUUUUUGACGCGCGCGCACCAACAAAAAAAUUUUGAAAGAAUUUUAUUUGAAUUUUAUAUGUGUUCCUAUUUGUUUUAUGAAUCGAAUCUGAUAAGAAAUUGUGGGGAUGCAAAUAUCACACGAUGCCUCCGUUCAGUCAAGUUUAUUCUUGAUUUGUUGAAAUUGUGUAAAUAGAUUUAUAAUAGUUUUUAUGAUGUGUCAGGGUUCGCGCUCUUUGGAUAAUCAUGGAAGUAUGGUGAUUUCUAUUUAUUGUUGUGGGGAAAGGACACCGACUUCUUUGCGUGGUUUUAGAAAUGAUCGCAUAGACUUGUAUUAGGAUAAUUAUACCCUUUGACUGUAGUGAUUUCAUCUUGGCAUAUUUAUCAAAAUGGGUAUUUUCCCUUUCAGCUACUCAUCACACGAGCUUUAACCUUCCACCAGUGAUCAAGUUGAACAUGCAAGAUUCCAACAAGUCCCUUUGAGAUCCCGUCCAGUUGUUGCAGCCCAGAUCCCACCAUCAAAUCAGGUCAAAUUACAAGAUAUACCUAACUUAUGGAUUAACUUUCGUGUCUUUUAGUUUGAGAUCUAGUGAGUACAAUGCUCGUAAUGCCCAAUACCAUAUGGUUCAAGAGGAUAUGAGAGCAUAAAGGUUCAAAUUUAUGAGUUUAACUGGUUGAAAAUGGUGUAAUAUGCCUCUGUGGUUUGUACAUAAUGGAUUAGAUAAUCCUCUUUUUUUGGCCCUCCAAAGAAUUAUUCGUAGGAGACUGAAAAUUGAAUCUCUGAUGCAGUUUAUCCUUGAACUGGUAAGACAAUGUAGCUGAAGUAAUUUUUCAUAUUUCAUAUAGUAUUUGCUAUCACUUAAGUGGAAGACUGACUUUUGUAUAUUUACUUUUUCUGGUGGCUUCAAACAGUCUCAACCAUUUGGAAUGUGACAAACUUUGAACUACUAUAUUAAUAAGAAGAUUAUUAAUCCUGCAUGCCCUAUACUCGCUGCUGUGAUUGAAGAAAGGCGGAUAUUACUAUUGCUGACUGACUGACUCUUACCAAUGGCCUUGACAAACCUUUUGUUCGCAUCAAACUGAGGCAUAAGAGGUGUAAAGGUGUAGGAGUGAAAGCUACAACAUAUGCAAAAACAAUAUGGAUGGACCUUGCCAAUGCCGAGUUGAUCUCUGGAAAUAAGAUUCACAUAAAUAGAUUGGGAAUGCAAUUGUGGAGCAAAUUAGUAGGAACCAGGAUGGAAAUUUCACAGGGGUUGUGCAUCUUGAAGGAUACAAGACGACCGUGUUGAAGCUGACCUGGCUGCUUGAAAUAAUCGAGUUAGUGGGGUUCGACUACCUAAUCACAAAGAAAAAGGUAUGUUGAUUUUCAGAUUUUUUUUCUUCCACUUAUCUCUUUGCUGUCAUACAGAGUGCCAUUCUGAAUAGUAAACUUUUCAUGUAAUGUGAAUUUGAUCCAUAAAGCACCUGAAUCUAGAUAAGUUUGCUGCAUGCUGAGCAUUGGGUCUUGUGUCUCAUGUGGGUUUUUUUCUUGAGUUCUUUAUGCCCAAAGAUGCUAGAAGGCUGGUUCUUACCACCGACCAACCAUCUAUUUAUACUUAGUCAUAGCAAUUGCAAACAUACCCCCUUGGUUGGUUCACGCAGUAAAAUCUCUUGAGGCAGUACCUAAUUGCCAUUUCCAAGUGUUUAACCCUAAAUUUUUAAUAACGUUUUGGUGGAUUCAUGUACAUUGAACUAGUCUUCUUUCUAUAUUACAUGGAUUAAAUUUUGAAACUAGGCCAACCUGUUGUUAAAUCUGCCUUUCAAAUUAUUGACUUAAUAUUGCCAAAAAAGAACUUUUUACCGAUUACAGAAUUUUUCAUUUUUGCAGGAAACUGGAGUCGCAGCUGACAGUGCUCAAGGGCAAUCCUUAAAUUAAAUUUCAUUGCAAUCUUUAAACUUUAAAUUAUUUGAGAAAAAAAAAAUCUUGGCAUAAUAUUGAACAGUGCAUUUACUUGUAUAAUAUCAAUAAAACAAUGCAUGUGAGGGAAUAAAAAGAAUAAGAUGAAAUUUGACGACAGUAAUUGGCACUAUUUCAAGCAAAGAAAUCUGGACACUAAUAUGUUUUCUCUGUUACUUUCCAAAAUUACUGCAUGUACAUGAGAUGAUUGUUUGCUACUGUUGUACUGUAUAAGGUGAAACAUUUGAAGAAGCCCCCUUCUAAACUGGUAGUGUUGGUCGUUGUUGUCCUGCCGAGGAAGUGUCAUUAGAUUGAAACCUACUGCAAAUAUUGAUACAAAAUGGCUUCAAGGUUUCGUUAUAGAGCUGACUGCAAAAUGGCUUCAAGGUUUCGUUGUAGAGCUGACGACAAGCUUCUGUAAACAGCGCCCCAUAUUGAUGCACAACAAUGGUAAUGGACGAGCAAAGCCACGCAGUGUACAAUAUGAUAUGACCAAUAUCAGAGCGAGGAACAAAUGUGGAGAUCAAGGAGACUGCAGAAACAGAUCCAGAGACAACUGCUACAAGGGCCCAAGAUUGGGAAGAAUUCUCUUGAUGAGCUAAAUAUGCAUAACAAUAAAUGGCUGUGGUUAUGAGAAAAGACCAUAUAUUUGUUGUGUGUGUUUCAAGCAAGCGCUCAGUUGUGCCGUGCAUAUUUGCUCCCACGAUGCCGAUGAGAGCUGGAAUGAGAUAUCCAAACACGUUAUGGUAUGCGUUUGACAUCGCGGACAAAUAAAUUUUGUUCCUGCAGAACCAUUAAAAUACUAUAUUAAGGAAAGUAUUAGAUCCAUUCCUUUAGAAAAACAAGAAUUUAAGAGAUCAUUAUGUAUUUAGUCCCAUUUAAUAUUAGUUUAAUUUUUUCAAGUUAUUGUGAAAAAAAAAAAUUAUCAAAUACUUUUAUCGAUCCAUUCCUUUAGAAAAAAAAUAUAUAUAUAUAUAUAUAUAUUUUCAGUGCACACACAACAUUUCUUUACUGUUUCAAACAAUCUGGUUCUAACUAUUAUAUUGUAUCAAACUCUUCUUGAGUUCGACUUUCUUUCAAACCCAAAUAUUAUAUUUGACUUUGGCUUUUCUCUUUAUUUUCAAGAUGCAAUGGGUUUCUAUCAGCUUUCCAAGCCUUAUAAAAUCUUGACAAAGACUUGAAGAAGAAAACAAAUUAUUUUCAGUGCAUAUUGAUUGGUAAGAAUUUAAAAAGGAAAUUUGGGAUUUUUUUUGUUUUCUUUUGAACAUUGUCUGUAUAUAUAUAGGGUAAAGUUUUAUUUUUAAAUACACGUUGUGGCUCAGUUCAGAGAGAGAAGGGAGACGGUGAAGAUUGAUGGGUUGACUUUCUUUUCCCGUCAGCCAUUUUGUAAUAGAUUGAUCAGAGCAAUCAUUACCUGCAAAACUCAACACAUCACCAAAUUAACAACCAACAUUUCAAUUUCAAACCCAACCUUAAAUUGAAACAAAUCUUCUUGAAAAAUAAAGGAAAAAGCAACUCCAAAUCAAAAUCGAAAUGAAACCUUAACAGAGAGACAGCCGCAAGUAUGAGGAGACAAGCACGAUCCUAAAAGAUCUGAAGUCCUGUUGGUAUAUGAGAGAUGAACUGACCUCAAUUUAUAUAGGAUGGAUUCCCUUUGCUCAUUGGCUGCUGCAGCCCUGGACCGUUGAGGGGGGACACGUGGAGGGAUCGUGGGGCGGGAUGGAAGUAACUGUGGUUGAGUUAAGGUUGGACUUUUCAUUAACAUACCUUUGAAAAAGGUAUGUUAAUCAACCUUUCAAAGGUACUUCCACCCCUCACAUAACUCCAGUCAACCACAGUUACUUCCAUCCCGCCCCACGAUCCCUCCACGUGAGCUGCUGCAGCCAAUGAGCAAAGGGAAUCCAUCCUAUAUAAAUUGAGAUCCCUGUUGAAACACAUAAAACGACGCUGAAUUAACACACAAAUACACUUAAAAGUCUGUUUCCCAAACAAAAACUUUUUAGAAGAUUCUCUUACGUAAUCUCCAAAACACAUGCCCACUUCCAUGCUCUGAAGAAUUUCUUCAGAGAGUUCCAACGAGACCUUGUCUUUUCUCUCUGAUUGUGAGCCCAAAAACCAGAAAAAAAAACUAAAUAAAUAAAUCACAACAAUUGCGAGAAAACGACAAUGUUUCAAGUAUAAUUUCCACAUACCAACCAUUUUUUUCCUUCAGAUUAAUUCAAUUCCACUGGAUUGAAAAUAAAUUUUCUGCGGGAACGGGAGGAAGUUGAUAAUUUAUUUAUACUUCUGUGUCAAACAGCAUGAUUUCCCAAAUAAGGACUAUAGUUUUCUACUCGUCCCAAAUGGGUGCCUAAACCCGAGCAAUGACUACGAUACCCUUAAGCGUCAGCUCCUGUACACUUAAAUGCAAGGGUAUUUUGAUCAUUUAAUAAUUAGUGACCUACUUUCUGAUGCAUAUAAAAGCACACUUCACGAAGAAAACAUCAAGAAUGAGGAAGAAAAACGCCGAUUGAGGAUGCUCAAAUUGGAUCAAAGCUUUGAAUGACAACGUAAGUCUCGAUUUUUUUUGUUUUCUAUUAUGUGUUAUUGUGGGGAAAGGACACCGGCUUCUUUGCGUGGUUUUAGAAAUGAUCACAUAGACUUGUAUUAGGCUAAUUAUACCCUUUGACUGCAGUGAUUUCAUCUUGGCAUAUUUAUGAAAAUGGGUAUUUUCCCUUUUAACUACUCAUCACACGAGCUUUAACCUUCCAUCAGUGAUCUGUUGAGGCCGAAUGAUGAGCGGAGGAUAGCGUGUUUGGCUUAUUCGUGCGUCAAGGUGAAGCAGAUUAUUGGUGGCAGGAUUAAGCUCGUCGGAUAUUGCAACCAAUUCCUUGGAAAAUGUUUGUGAAUGGCUUGAAGCAUUGAGAUAUCAUUCUAUUAUCUCCGUGUGUUUUCAUAAGCAAAAUUGGGAUGCUAAUAGUGUUGUCAUAGCAGGAAGUUGAACAUGCAAGAUUCCAGCAAGUCCCUUUGAGAUCCCGUCCAGUCGUUGCAACCCAGAUCCCGCCAUCAAAUC
This 5104-nucleotide long non-coding RNA is filed under the name Citrus maxima (pomelo). RNAcentral describes it as "long non-coding RNA (CMAX_LNC001182)". The record is from RNAcentral. Lineage: Eukaryota; Viridiplantae; Streptophyta; Magnoliopsida; Sapindales; Rutaceae.